UAGGAUUGUGCCAAGUCAAACUUUCUUAAUUUUGACCAAGUCUGGAAAAAUCUAUAAACAUCUACAAUAUCAAGUAUAUAUACUAUGAAAAUAUAUUUCAUAAUGAGUUUCUUGACGGAAAUUUGGCGUUGUAGAUGUUAAUUUGUUUUUAUAUAAACUUGGUCAUACGGUAAAGUAGUUUGACUUCGAAGAAAUCUAA
Molecule: microRNA precursor, 199 nt
Filed under: Triticum aestivum (bread wheat)
Lineage: Eukaryota; Viridiplantae; Streptophyta; Magnoliopsida; Poales; Poaceae
Also listed under: 1 other name
Description: MIR1435 microRNA precursor family
Rfam family: MIR1435 microRNA precursor family
Source: Rfam by way of RNAcentral